Molecule: ribosomal RNA, 443 nt
Filed under: uncultured soil bacterium
Lineage: Bacteria
Description: bacterial SSU rRNA
Rfam family: Bacterial small subunit ribosomal RNA
Source: RNAcentral
AGAGCGAACGCUGGCGGCAGGCUUAACACAUGCAAGUCGAGCGCCCCGCAAGGGGAGCGGCAGACGGGUGAGUAACACGUGGGAACGUACCCUUUGGUUCGGAACAACCCAGGGAAACUUGGGCUAAUACCGGAUAAGUCCGUAAGGAGAAAGAUUUAUCGCCAAAGGAUCGGCCCGCGUCUGAUUAGCUAGUUGGUAGGGUAAUGGCCUACCAAGGCUACGAUCAGUAGCUGGUCUGAGAGGAUGAUCAGCCACAUUGGGACUGAGACACGGCCCAAACUCCUACGGGAGCAGCAGUGGGGAAUAUUGGACAAUGGGCGCAAGCCUGAUCCAGCCAUGCCGCGUGAGUGAUGAAGGCCUUAGGGUUGUAAAGCUCUUUAGCGGGAAGAUAAUGACGGUACCGACAAGAAAACGCCCGGACUAACUUCGCGCCAGUACGCCGC